Molecule: ribosomal RNA, 838 nt
Filed under: uncultured bacterium
Lineage: Bacteria
Description: bacterial SSU rRNA
Rfam family: Bacterial small subunit ribosomal RNA
Source: RNAcentral
UCGAGCGGUAGGCCCUUCGGGGUACACGAGCGGCGGACGGCUGAGUAACGCGUGGGAACAUGCCCCAAAGUGAGGGAUAAGCUCGAGAAAUCGAGUCUAAUACCGCAUAUGAUCUUCGGAUUAAAGGAUUUAUCCGCUUUGGGAGUGGCCCGCGUACGAUUAGGUAGUUGGUGAGGUAAAGGCUCACCAAGCCCACGAUCGUUAACUGGUCUGAGAGGAUGAUCAGUCAGACUGGAACUGAGAUACGGUCCAGACUCCUACGGGAGGCAGCAGUGAGGAAUCUUCCACAAUGGGCGAAAGCCUGAUGGAGCGACGCCGCGUGCAGGAUGAAGGCCUUCGGGUUGUAAACUGCUUUUAUAAGUGAAGAAUAUGACGGUAACUUAUGAAUAAGCACCGGCUAACUACGUGCCAGCAGCCGCGGUCAUACGUAGGGUGCAAGCAUUAUCCGGAGUGACUGGGCGUAAAGAGUUGCGUAGGUGGACAAGUAAGCGAAUAGUGAAAUUUGACGGCUCAACCGUACAAACUAUUAUUCGAACUGCUUGUCUCGAGAAUGGUAGAGGUAACUGGAAUUUCUUGUGUAGGAGUGAAAUCCGUAGAUAUAAGAAGGAACACCAAUGGCGUAGGCAGGUUACUGGACCAUUUCUGACACUGAGGCACGAAAGCGUGGGGAGCGAACCGGAUUAGAUACCCGGGUAGUCCACGCCGUAAACGAUGGAUACUAGCUGUUGGAGGUAUCGACCCCUUCAGUAGCGAAGCUAACGCGUUAAGUAUCCCGCCUGUGGAGUACGGUCGCAAGACUAAAACAUAAAGGAAUUGACGGGGACCCGCACAAGCGGUG